This is a long non-coding RNA of Gasterosteus aculeatus aculeatus (three-spined stickleback), 656 nucleotides long. NCBI's taxonomy places the organism in Eukaryota, Metazoa, Chordata, Actinopteri, Perciformes, Gasterosteidae. The record is from Ensembl.
GUUUUGCCUUUCCCCUUUAAUGGUUUGUAAGAACGUAAAGCCCGUGACAAAAGCCACUACCAUGAGAAACAGGGAACAGGUGGUCAUCGCUGCGUCCCCCGGCCUUGGCCCACAGCAUUGGAAUCAGCCGGCGGGUUUAGGUCUUGUACUAGCCUUGGAAUAAGAGAUUGGGGAUUCCAGCUCUCACAGGAAAUCGUCUGUCGGCGCUUGUUGGCGAAGGACAGAUCGGAUGCGCGGGUUGACAACGAGGCCUUGGAUUCGGCCAGUUCCACUUCCACUCACCCCCAACCAGCCGUGGCCCCCACGUGUUCGGACCCACACCUUGAGCAGGCAGCCGUGAAAUGGGGCCCUGUCUGGGAACUGUUGGCAGGCCGGAUGGAAACAGCAAAAGCGUGGUCCUCGUUAGCUGGGAUGACGCUAGCUAGCCCGUCGUCUCUGGGGAGCAUGCUUGGCUGCUGCUGCUGCUGCUACUGCCGGGAGGCCGAGAAAAGGAAAGGUGAAACAUAACCAGCUCUGGGGCCAAGGAUUAAAUCAGAGACAGCUUAUCAGCAGCUGCGACAACAACCGCCGACCUCCAGGUCACCCAACCCACUGACCUAUUCUGACCAGGGAGGCCGGACCACAUAAUUCUCUUGACCCCCAACGCAUCCCUCCCC